GCAACUUGGGCUUUAUCUGGGGGACUACGCCUUUCGAAAGGACGACUUAUACCCCAUAAUAUGUUGAAUGGCAUCAUUCGACAUUGAAAACUCCGGUGGAUAGCAGAUGGGCACGCGCAAGCAUUCAGCAUAGUUGGUGAGGUAAACGGCUCACCAAGUCUACGAUCUUUAGGGGGGCCUGAAGGGUGAUACCCCCAAANUGGUAAACUGAAGACACGGGACCAGAGAAUCCUACGGGAGGGCAAGCAAGUGAGGACAUUAUUUGGACAAUGGGGUGAAGAGCCUUGAAUCCCAAGAUCAGCAGAUUAACAGCACUGGAUGGUUGAAACGGGAAANGGGAACAUUGGAGAACCCAUAAUUAGGGGGUUAUGGUAAAAAAGUUUUAGCUAAGNGGGGUAAUAAGGGGGAAUUAGAAAACNCGUAGAGUCACAGUACGAAUUGGAGGGAGGGUCAGAAGNUUCGAAAAUGAGGUUUACAUAUAAAGGAAGAGUAUAGACNNAGAGGGGAAUUACAGAAUUCCACGAGUGGGAGCAAGUGAAAAAGUGAUAGAGGCGNGNAAUAAAAGUUAAAACAGGGAUAAAGGANGUAUAGGGGCAGAAG
Molecule: ribosomal RNA, 600 nt
Filed under: uncultured bacterium
Lineage: Bacteria
Description: partial 16S ribosomal RNA
Rfam family: Bacterial small subunit ribosomal RNA (bases 1-241)
Source: RNAcentral